UACAGAGGGGGCAAGCGUUGUUCGGAAUUACUGGGCGUAAAGGGCGUGUAGGCGGCCUGCUAAGUCGAACGUGAAAUCCCUGGGCUCAACCCAGGAACUGCGUCCGAUACUGGUUGGCUUGAAUCCGGGAGAGGGAUGUGGAAUUCCAGGUGUAGCGGUGAAAUGCGUAGAUAUCUGGAGGAACACCGGUGGCGAAGGCGACAUCCUGGACCGGUAUUGACGCUGAGGCGCGAAAGCCAGGGGAGCAAACGGG
This 253-nucleotide ribosomal RNA is filed under the name uncultured bacterium. Its description in RNAcentral is "partial 16S ribosomal RNA". It matches the Rfam family "Bacterial small subunit ribosomal RNA", at positions 524 to 776 of the family's 1533-position model. The record is from RNAcentral.